AUCGCUUCUUGGCCUUUUGGCUAAGAUCAAGUGUAAAAACUGUCAACUGCAUUUCUUUCGCCAAAUAUUCAUGUUUGAAUAAACACACUUUAUAUCUGAGUUACUAUUGCAAGUAAGAAUGGUUUUCCAUGAAGAAAGCAGCAGGUUCAUCUGAUAGCUAUACAAAUGAACUGCCUGAGUAAUUUCCU
Artibeus jamaicensis (Jamaican fruit-eating bat) is the source of this 188-nucleotide small nuclear RNA. RefSeq annotates it as U2 spliceosomal RNA. The record is from RefSeq and is a predicted model, not a curated record. Lineage: Eukaryota; Metazoa; Chordata; Mammalia; Chiroptera; Phyllostomidae. The transcript has a single exon.